GGCUUGUGGUUUAGUGGUAUAAUUUUCCCUUAGCAUGCCUGCAUGUCCAAAUUCGGCCAUCAGCAACGGAGGUGCGUGGGAAAGGUCCUGGGUUCGAGUCUCUUCCCUGUCCAAGUCA
Polyplosphaeria fusca is the source of this 118-nucleotide non-coding RNA. NCBI's taxonomy places the organism in Eukaryota, Fungi, Ascomycota, Dothideomycetes, Pleosporales, Tetraplosphaeriaceae. The record is from the annotation of a GenBank genome assembly.